Molecule: ribosomal RNA, 78 nt
Filed under: Bacteroidetes bacterium HGW-Bacteroidetes-8
Lineage: Bacteria; Pseudomonadati; Bacteroidota
Description: partial 16S ribosomal RNA
Rfam family: Bacterial small subunit ribosomal RNA (bases 1-68)
Source: RNAcentral
AACUAGUAACUGGGGCUAAGUCGUAACAAGGUAGCCGUACCGGAAGGUGUGGCUGGAACACCUCCUUUUUGGAGCUUA